RNAcentral lists this ribosomal RNA (443 nucleotides) under uncultured bacterium. Its description in RNAcentral is "partial 16S ribosomal RNA". It matches the Rfam family "Bacterial small subunit ribosomal RNA", at positions 338 to 795 of the family's 1533-position model. The record is from RNAcentral.
CCUACGGGUGGCAGCAGUGGGGAAUAUUGGGCAAUGGGCGCAAGCCUGACCCAGCAACGCCGCGUGAAGGAAGAAGGCUUUCGGGUUGUAAACUUCUUUUCUCAGGGACGAAGCAAGUGACGGUACCUGAGGACUAAGCCACGGCUAACUACGUGCCAGCAGCCGCGGUAAUACGUAGGUGGCAAGCGUUAUCCGGAUUUACUGGGUGUAAAGGGCGUGUAGGCGGGAAAGCAAGUCAGAUGUGAAAACCCUGGGCUCAACCUGUGGCCUGCAUUUGAAACUGUUUUUCUUGAGUACUGGAGAGGCAGACGGAAUUCCUAGUGUAGCGGUGAAAUGCGUAGAUAUUAGGAGGAACACCAGUGGCGAAGGCGGUCUGCUGGACAGCAACUGACGCGGAGGCGCGAAAGCGUGGGGAGCAAACAGGAUUAGAUACCCCUGUAGUC